Molecule: long non-coding RNA, 983 nt
Organism: Hyla sarda
Lineage: Eukaryota; Metazoa; Chordata; Amphibia; Anura; Hylidae
Exons: 4
Source: RefSeq, a predicted model, not a curated record
UUAACCAUUAUAUAACAUUGCACUAUACUGUGCAUUAUAGAGAGUCCUGAGGAGAGUUUGCCCAAGACAGACAUUGAAGCGGCAUCUGCCACACAGGAUGGGCAGGAGUACAGAAGAACACAUGAUUCUGUACUGGAGAUAUGCUGAACAGCAAGCCCCAUCGACAUAGGCGACAUUUGACAGGAGCUGUCCCUUUGACAUAAAUGGGAAAUGUUACUGGACAUGAGCUAUGACCUUUGAAGAGGUCAACCCACAGCAAUGGGGGAAGAAGAAGCUGUUAAGAAAAAUGAUUGCAGAAACAUGUCAGCGAAUGAGACAGAGGCUUUAUAUUCAUGCCUCCUGCUGUCUGUAUUUAACAUGACUCUUCUUUGAUGCUAAAUGUUCCGUUACUAGAAUACGUAGAAGGAUUGAAAGAGGAAAGGUAAAUUCCGCGCGAGGGGUACCCGCAGACAUACUUUCACCCUUUGGGGGUACAGUCGUGAAAAAGGUUGAGAACCAGGAGAGGGUUCUUUCUGGCAACUCAUAAUGUCCAGAAUGUGGAGUGUUACAGAGAAGAUUGACCUUCUGGAAGUUUCUCCUGCACAUAGGAUCUUUGGAGCUCAGCCAAAAUGACCAUUGGGUUCUUGGUCACUUAUCUUCUCAAGGCCCUUCUCCCCAAAUUUCUUAGUUUGGUGGGACAGCCAGCUCUAGGAAAAGUCCAUGUUGUUACAAACAUACAACUUGUUUUGUACCCUUCUCCAGAUAUGUGCCUCCAAAAAGUCCUGUCUCUGAGCUGUACAGGCAGUUAUUUUUCUCUGAUAUGGAUUGUCAGCCAUAACGUGUCUUUCUAAGGCUAGGUUCCCACUUGUUUCUUUUUCUGGCUUUCUUUUUUUUAGGUAAAAAAAUCAAAAAAACGCCAGAAAAACUGCCACUAAUUGUCCCUGUGUUUUGGCAUUAUUACCUUUCUGUGGAUAUUGCAUUUUUGGCCCCUUUGGCAGUUUCCC